GAUGAACGCUGGCGGCGUGCCUAAUACAUGCAAGUCGAGCGAACAGACGAGGAGCUUGCUCCUCUGACGUUAGCGGCGGACGGGUGAGUAACACGUGGAUAACCUACCUAUAAGACUGGGAUAACUUCGGGAAACCGGAGCUAAUACCGGAUAAUAUAUUGAACCGCAUGGUUCAAUAGUGAAAGACGGUUUUGCUGUCACUUAUAGAUGGAUCCGCGCCGCAUUAGCUAGUUGGUAAGGUAACGGCUUACCAAGGCAACGAUGCGUAGCCGACCUGAGAGGGUGAUCGGCCACACUGGAACUGAGACACGGUCCAGACUCCUACGGGAGGCAGCAGUAGGGAAUCUUCCGCAAUGGGCGAAAGCCUGACGGAGCGACGCCACGUGAGUGAUGAAGGUCUUCGGAUCGUAAAACUCUGUUAUUAGGGAAGAACAAAUGUGUAAGUAACUAUGCACGUCUUGACGGUACCUAAUCAGAAAGCCACGGCUAACUACGUG
This 497-nucleotide ribosomal RNA is filed under the name uncultured bacterium. RNAcentral describes it as "partial 16S ribosomal RNA". It matches the Rfam family "Bacterial small subunit ribosomal RNA", at positions 28 to 507 of the family's 1533-position model. The record is from RNAcentral.